AUACGUAGGUGGCAAGCGUUAUCCGGAAUUAUUGGGCGUAAAGGGUGCGUAGGCGGUUGAUUAAGUUUUAGGUGAAAGCGUGGGGCUCAACUCCAUACAGCCUAAGAAACUGGUCAACUAGAGUGCAGAAGAGGGUAGUGGAAUUCCAUGUGUAGCGGUAAAAUGCGUAGAUAUAUGGAGGAACACCAGUGGCGAAGGCGGCUACCUGGUCUGUAACUGACGCUGAGUCACGAAAGCGUGGGUAGC
This 246-nucleotide ribosomal RNA is filed under the name uncultured bacterium. RNAcentral describes it as "partial 16S ribosomal RNA". It matches the Rfam family "Bacterial small subunit ribosomal RNA", at positions 523 to 769 of the family's 1533-position model. The record is from RNAcentral.